RNAcentral lists this transfer RNA (72 nucleotides) under Alphaproteobacteria bacterium. Its description in RNAcentral is "tRNA-Arg". It matches the Rfam family "tRNA". Rfam says of the family: Transfer RNA (tRNA) molecules are approximately 80 nucleotides in length. Their secondary structure includes four short double-helical elements and three loops (D, anti-codon, and T loops). The record is from RNAcentral. Lineage: Bacteria; Pseudomonadati; Pseudomonadota; Alphaproteobacteria.
GCCCUCGUAGCUCAGCGGAAGAGCAGCGGUCUUCUAAGCCGCGGGUCGCGCGUUCGAACCGCGCCGGGGGUU